AGGUGUACAGUCAUACACAGGGGCAAGUAGUCUCUUCUUUGUUGCAACAAAACCAGUUCAGUUUUACAGAGGGGUCUAUAAACAACAUUGUACGUCUACCUGAGUCUCUGUGAGUCUAUAUUUUUGAAAAUGAAAGCUGUCGUGAUUGCCUGUCUGCUGUUUACCCUGGCUGUUGUUGUGGCCGACCAAGUCGAUGACGUGCCUGCGGUCAGAGAGUUGCAGGAAUCAAAGAGAGUUGUUCCAGUAGAGGCGGCCAGUGCUGACGUGGACCGUAAACAAAUCAACGACUGUGAAUUUAGGCCGUGGGAGCGUCAGUGUCGUUAGGUCAACAUGUCCAGUCGAGGAUGACCUAAGAUUUAAAAAUUGGACACAUCCUAAACUAAUUGUUAUCCAAUUAUAAUUAAUUAAAACAAUAUGAAUUGCUAGUAGUAAGAAAGUUUCAAUAA
Long non-coding RNA from Physella acuta, 446 nucleotides. RefSeq lists it as uncharacterized. The record is from RefSeq and is a predicted model, not a curated record. Lineage: Eukaryota; Metazoa; Mollusca; Gastropoda; Physidae.